This 460-nucleotide ribosomal RNA is filed under the name uncultured bacterium. Its description in RNAcentral is "partial 16S ribosomal RNA". It matches the Rfam family "Bacterial small subunit ribosomal RNA", at positions 338 to 795 of the family's 1533-position model. The record is from RNAcentral.
CCUACGGGUGGCAGCAGUGAGGAAUAUUGGUCAAUGGGCGCGAGCCUGAACCAGCCAAGUAGCGUGAAGGAUGACUGCCCUAUGGGUUGUAAACCUCUUUUAUAAAGGAAUAAAGUGAGCCACGUGUGCCUUUUUGUAUGUACUUUAUGAAUAAGGAUCGGCUAACUUCGUGCCAGCAGCCGCGGUAAUACGGAGGAUCCGAGCGUUAUCCGGAUUUUUUGGGUUUAAAGGGAGCGUAGAUGGGUUGUUAAGUCAGUUGUGAAAGUUUGGGGCUCAACCGUAAAAUUGCAAUUGAUACUGGCAGUCUUGAGUACAGGUGAGGUAGGCGGAAUGCGUGGUGUAGCGGUGAAAUGCUUAGAUAUCACGAAGAACUCCGAUUGCGAAGGCAGCUUACUAGACUGCCACUGACAUUGAUGCUCGAAAGUGUGGGUAUCAAACAGGAUUAGAUACCCUUGUAGUC